RNAcentral lists this non-coding RNA (24 nucleotides) under Arabidopsis thaliana (thale cress). The record is from RNAcentral. Lineage: Eukaryota; Viridiplantae; Streptophyta; Magnoliopsida; Brassicales; Brassicaceae.
UUAUCGGAAUAAUGCAAAGUUGUU